CCUUCUUGGCUCAGUUGGCAGAGCGUCUGCCUAGUAAGCAGAAGGUCACCAGUUCAAUUCUGGUAGAAGGCA
Molecule: transfer RNA, 72 nt
Filed under: Coemansia sp. RSA 2320
Lineage: Eukaryota; Fungi; Kickxellomycota; Kickxellomycetes; Kickxellales; Kickxellaceae
Also listed under: 2 other names
Description: tRNA-Thr
Rfam family: tRNA
About the family: Transfer RNA (tRNA) molecules are approximately 80 nucleotides in length.
Source: RNAcentral